RNAcentral lists this unclassified non-coding RNA (330 nucleotides) under soil metagenome. RNAcentral describes it as "partial contains 5.8S ribosomal RNA, internal transcribed spacer 2, and large subunit ribosomal RNA". The stretch from base 1 to 120 matches the Rfam family "5.8S ribosomal RNA", at positions 35 to 154 of the family's 154-position model. The record is from RNAcentral.
GAUGAAGAACGUAGCGAAAUGCGAUAAGUAAUGUGAAUUGCAGAAUUCAGUGAGUCAUCGAAUCUUUGAACGCACAUUGCGCCCCCUGGUAUUCCGGGGGGCAUGCCUGUUCGAGCGUCAUUUCACCACUCAAGCCUCGCUUGGUAUUGGGCAACGCGGUCCGCCGCGUGCCUCAAAUCGACCGGCUGGGUCUUCUGUCCCCUAAGCGUUGUGGAAACUUUCGCUAAAGGGUGUUCGGGAGGCUACGCCGUAAAACAACCCCAUUUCUAAGGUUGACCUCGGAUCAGGUAGGGAUACCCGCUGAACUUAAGCAUAUCAAUAAGCGGAGGA